UACGGAGGAUGCGAGCGUUAUCCGGAUUUAUUGGGUUUAAAGGGUGCGUAGGCGGAUCGUUAAGUCAGUGGUCAAAUUGAGGGGCUCAACCCCUUCCCGCCAUUGAAACUGGCGAUCUUGAGUGGAAGAGAAGUAUGCGGAAUGCGUGGUGUAGCGGUGAAAUGCAUAGAUAUCACACAGAACCCCGAUUGCGAAGGCAGCCUUCCGGCGCCCUACUGACGCUGAGGCACGAAAGUGCGGGCAUCGAACAGG
RNAcentral lists this ribosomal RNA (252 nucleotides) under uncultured bacterium. RNAcentral describes it as "partial 16S ribosomal RNA". It matches the Rfam family "Bacterial small subunit ribosomal RNA", at positions 524 to 776 of the family's 1533-position model. The record is from RNAcentral.